Molecule: ribosomal RNA, 497 nt
Filed under: uncultured bacterium
Lineage: Bacteria
Description: partial 16S ribosomal RNA
Rfam family: Bacterial small subunit ribosomal RNA
Source: RNAcentral
GAUGAACGCUGGCGGCGUGCCUAAUACAUGCAAGUCGAGCGAACGGACGAGAAGCUUGCUUCUCUGAUGUUAGCGGCGGACGGGUGAGUAACACGUGGAUAACCUACCUAUAAGACUGGGAUAACUUCGGGAAACCGGAGCUAAUACCGGAUAAUAUUUUGAACCGCAUGGUUCAAAAGUGAAAGACGGUCUUGCUGUCACUUAUAGAUGGAUCCGCGCUGCAUUAGCUAGUUGGUAAGGUAACGGCUUACCAAGGCAACGAUGCAUAGCCGACCUGAGAGGGUGAUCGGCCACACUGGAACUGAGAAACGGUCCAGACUCCUACGGGAGGCAGCAGUAGGGAAUCUUCCGCAAUGGGCGAAAGCCUGACGGAGCAACGCCGCGUGAGUGAUGAAGGUCUUCGGAUCGUAAAACUCUGUUAUUAGGGAAGAACAUAUGUGUAAGUAAAUGUGCACAUCUUGACGGUACCUAAUCAGAAAGCCACGGCUAACUACGUG